This is a long non-coding RNA of Halichondria panicea, 2506 nucleotides long. RefSeq lists it as uncharacterized. The transcript is spliced from 5 exons. Lineage: Eukaryota; Metazoa; Porifera; Demospongiae; Suberitida; Halichondriidae. The record is from RefSeq and is a predicted model, not a curated record.
AUGGGUAUAUAUAAAUGUCCAUGGGUAUAUAUAAAUGUCCAUGUGUAUUUAUAAAUGUCAAUGGGUAUUUAUAAAUGUCAAUGGGUAUUUAUAAAUGUCAGUGGAGGAUGUGUGCUUUUCAGGGUGUGGUUUUGUUACAUUACAAGUGGUAGUCACAUGAUAACCUGCCACAUGGUCCACAAGAAUGGCUGAAGGUGUGAAUGUUGGAGUGUUGUCUAGUGCCCUGGCUGUUUCAAUUCAGCAAGCAGUUAGCAGUGGUCAGUUACAGUUACCUCAAGUGCCAACAAGUGGUGCCAACCAGAGUCCCAUUAGUGACAGGUCUGAUCGUCCAGGAAGGCCGAGCGAGGUCCACUGUUACCAUUGACGAAAUACUGGAAAUACGAUCACUUCAUUACAAAUGGAAUAAAAUUGCGUCUAUCUUGGGAAUAUCAAGAGCAACUUUGUACAGACGAUUAGAAGAAAAUGGAAGAUCCUCACAGGAUGGGUCGAUGUUGGAUGAUAAUGAGCUAGAUGAUGUGAUCAGUGGUAUAAAAAGAGAUCACCCGAAUGAUGGGGAACGACUUGUUUGCGGCCACUUAAGAGCAAGGGGAUUAAAAGUUCCUCAGCAAGCUGUCAUUGCGCGUCGCUGUACUGUUGUUAGACGCCGUGUGUACAGUGCCCCUCACCCAAAUUAUGUGUGGCACAUUGAUGGCCAUCAUAAACUUAUAAGGUGGCGUUUUGUGAUCCAUGGUUCAAUUGACGGCUUCUCCCGCACUAUCAUUUAUGUGGCAUGCACCGACAACAAUCGUUCAGAAACUGUUCUCCAGCUCUUCACUGACAGUAUCAGGCACUAUGGUGUCCCUAACCAUGUGAGAUCAGAUCAUGGUGGAGAAAAUGUGGAGGUAUGGCGGUACAUGAUUGCUGCACACAAUAAUGAUUACAGUUGUGUAAUCACCGGGAGUUCUGUGCACAAUGAAAGAAUGUGCACAAUGAAAGAAUUGAGAGACUCUGGCGUGACGUUCAUAGAUGUGUUGGUUCCGUGUUUUCCCAAAUCUUCCGAUCUUUGGAAAGUGAUGGACUUCUUGACCCCUUAAAUGAAGUGGAUCUUUACUGUUUGCAUCUGAUCUUCCUGCCACGAAUAAACAAAUGUAUUUCAGGUUUCGUAGAUAGUUGGAAUCAUCAUCCUUUAUCUACUGAAGGCAAUCGAACUCCAUACCAACUUUUUUUUGAAGGUAUGCUGCAAACAAGCGAGCAAGAACUUGGUACUACAGCUAAUGUGGACACUUCUGAUGUUGAAGGAGAACGUAAGGAGAACGUGUAUCAGUGCCAAGAAUUAUCAGUGCCAAGAAUUAAGUUUAUACCAUGCUCAAUUUUAAAACAAAGUUUCCAAACUAUAAAUCCCCUUGAAGAAGCAGAAGAUAAUGGUAGAGGACUCUUUGUCGACGUACUUCAUACUACAGGACAGCAUCUUAAUGCUACUUGCUCACAAUGUAUUUGGAUGUAAUAUUCAAUUAUUAUAAUUAUGAUAAGAAUGAAUGAAAGAAUGAAUAAAUAAAUGAAAAAGGAAUGAAUAAUGUGAUGAUGAAUGAAUGAAUGAACACAAUGAAGUAAUACAGCAGCUAAAAUGUCAAGGUUGGAACUGUUAUAUACUAACUACGGACCACCACCAAAACCAGCAGAAUCCAAAACGCUCAUAUCCAUUUUUUUCUUAAACAUCUCAUAUGGCAGCUCGUCAAAAGAUCUUGGAAAGGUGAUGCUUACGUCACAUGUUGAAGUCUUAGGGAGAAUCUUUUCAUUUGUGAAGUGGACACUAGGGAUACAAGGAAACCCAGCUGCUGGAAGCCUCCUAGAGCCAGAGAUAAAUUGUAGAAUGUCACCAAUCGACACAUCUGAAAGCCAGGGUCACCAGACAGCUCACUUUCCUUGUCAGAACAUAAUCAGCUGGUAAAGAGUCAGCUGGUUAAAAACGUCGUCUCUGAACAUUUCUCUAAGGGUCAAGUUUUCCGUUGUAUAUAUACUGUACAGAUGCAGUUCAGCGGAAGUAUGAGCAGAUCAGGCGACAGUGGUCUCUCGAUCAAAAAGAAAACAGCGCAGAACGGCCAAAGCUAAACAAAGUCGGUGUCGAGCAAGGCGUCUUCGAAAACAUCAAAUUAGUCAAGUAUUGGAGCUCCUGCUUUCAUCACAGAUGAAUCAGAUGACAGUGAUGAUCCAGCUGUGAUCAUUGAACAUAAGCUUGGAUGGCGAUCUAAUCUUUUGAACACUCUCAUGCCAAAGUAAUGAAGGAUGGUGGGGCAGUCAUGGCCAAAAAAAUCAAGAAAGCCGGGACAACCACCUUGUCCUGCUAAUGCUAGUGAGACCUGUAUAUUAUUAUGUACUACCUCCUCCAGAUGCAUUCAUUAUCUGCGGAUGUUUAACAGAUGUGGUUUAAUUUGACAAAACUCAUUUCAGAAACUCUCAUGUAUCAUUAUCACUAACUUUGUAUACUUGUGUAUUGUUCAUGCUGUUAUGCUAAUUGAAAUCAAUUAUU